UCGUAGUGCAAAGUUUUACGUUGUUUAUAUCCAACAUUUGAUCGUUCAUCUUAUUUAAAUUUUUUUAUGAUUAGUAUUUUUGUUAUUAUUAGAUGAUAAAACAUGAACAUAUUUUAUGUGUGACUAAUUUUUUUAAUUUUUCAAUGAAUUUUUCAAAUAGAACAUAUGAUCAAGCGUUGGACGCGGAAUGCACUUAAA
RNAcentral lists this microRNA precursor (198 nucleotides) under Oryza punctata. RNAcentral describes it as "MIR812 microRNA precursor family". It matches the Rfam family "MIR812 microRNA precursor family". The record is from Rfam by way of RNAcentral. Lineage: Eukaryota; Viridiplantae; Streptophyta; Magnoliopsida; Poales; Poaceae.